GUGGGGAAUAUUGGACAAUGGGCGAAAGCCUGAUCCAGCCAUGCCGCGUGUGUGAAGAAGGUCUUCGGAUUGUAAAGCACUUUAAGUUGGGAGGAAGGGCAGUAAGUUAAUACCUUGCUGUUUUGACGUUACCGACAGAAUAAGCACCGGCUAACUUCGUGCCAGCAGCCGCGGUAAUACGAAGGGUGCAAGCGUUAAUCGGAAUUACUGGGCGUAAAGCGCGCGUAGGUGGUUUUGUAAGUUGGAGGUGAAAUCCCCGGGCUCAACCUGGGAACAGCCUCCAAAACUGCAUGACUAGAGUACGGUAGAGGGUAGUUGAAUUUCCUGUGUAGCGGUGAAAUGCGUAGAUAUAGGAAGGAACACCAGUGGCGAAGGCGACUACCUGGACUGAUACUGACACUGAGGUGCGAAAGCGUGGGGAGCAAACAGGAUUAGAAACCCCGGUAGUCC
RNAcentral lists this ribosomal RNA (450 nucleotides) under uncultured bacterium. RNAcentral describes it as "partial 16S ribosomal RNA". It matches the Rfam family "Bacterial small subunit ribosomal RNA", at positions 354 to 796 of the family's 1533-position model. The record is from RNAcentral.